RNAcentral lists this ribosomal RNA (254 nucleotides) under uncultured bacterium. Its description in RNAcentral is "partial 16S ribosomal RNA". It matches the Rfam family "Bacterial small subunit ribosomal RNA", at positions 79 to 334 of the family's 1533-position model. The record is from RNAcentral.
CUUUCUUUGCUGGCGACCGGCGCACGGGUGAGUAACACGUAUCCAACCUGCCCUUUACUCGGGGAUAGCCUUUCGAAAGAAAGAUUAAUACCCGAUAGCAUAAUGAUUCCGCAUGGUUUCAUUAUUAAAGGAUUCCGGUAAAGGAUGGGGAUGAGUUCCAUUAGGUUGUUGGUGAGGUAACGGCCCACCAAGCCUUCGAUGGAUAGGGGUUCUGAGAGGAAGGUCCCCCACAUUGGAACUGAGACACGGUCCAA